Molecule: long non-coding RNA, 1456 nt
Organism: Girardinichthys multiradiatus
Lineage: Eukaryota; Metazoa; Chordata; Actinopteri; Cyprinodontiformes; Goodeidae
Exons: 4
Source: RefSeq, a predicted model, not a curated record
GGAUAUUUAAAAUUUUUUGUAUGUAUGUAUUCAUGUUAGUAUUUACAAUUGUGGAAUUUAGAGCAGUUUUAAAUAUGUAAAUUAUAAGAAGUGUUACCUAUAAUGCAAAUCUAUAUAUCUUCUAAGAUUCCAACUUACACCUUUUUUACCAUCUUAACUUUCCAUGUGAUGCUGUGAUAUUUCAGGGGUAAGUCUGGAAUUCCGCUAGUUCUGAACUAUUCGUGUUUGGAAAAAGUUCACUACUAGCAGAACUCGGAUUUGCUCCCGACAACCGACGGGAAUGACCGAUGGUGAAGGUCUUAUUCAGCCAUUGUGCUGAGCAGCAGGUGGUCUACAUGUGUGGAGUAGUGAUUGAGGAGUGCAGAGAAUUACUCUGAUGUCAAGUGAGCCAGAUCUACCUUUGCUGCUCUCAUGGCUCUGUGUUCACUUAACAUCAGGUAAUAUUCUCUAAUGGUUGUUCUUAAUGAAUUUAUCAGGUGUUUUUUUGUUUCUUUUAAUGCUGAUACUCUUCUUGUUUUGCUUUUCUUCCCCACUUUUACAGUUAGGAUUAUCAGGGGGAAUUCCAACAUGGUAAUGUUUGGUUGGACUGAUUAUCUUCAAAUUCUUCAGAGAGUCAAAAUAUAACUUUAUUUUUGAUAUCCAUUAUGUUUGUUUUUCAGAUGCACAGUUUGCAUCAUAUGUUUUUUAUUUCAUUUUCUGAUGGAUAAAUGCCUUUCAUACAAACAUGCUACAACACAAAUAUCAGAAAUAAGUAGAAGAAAGUAAACAAAGGAAGACAUUAUUUUACUUGUAAAAAUCUAUUUUCAUGCUUUUUUUCUUUUUUCUAUAGGUAACCUCUACCUACACUUAUCCCAAAAGGGUAAUCCUGUUCACCAAACUGCCUUAACCUUGUUGUAUUAAAGCUUAUGAGCUGAAACACCAACCCGCCAUAACAUUAUGACCACUGACAAGUAAGUUUCCAGAUGGAGCUGGAGUUUCUCAGAUGUGCUGGGUGACAGGUGCAACUGAUCUGCUGAUUGUGUGGAGGAGUAUUUAAGCAGGAGGCUGCCAGCACUCUGAUGCCAGUGUUUGCCUUCAUUGGCAGAGACCUGAAUCUUUUGGCUGUUUUCGUUGAACUCUGACUUUGGUUCCAGAAGUUUCUAGACGAUCGUUUGGUGGAUUUCGUUUGGAUUUCGUCUUCAAGGAGCAAGCUGGCAGCUUCCUGUUUUCCUCCGUCUCCUGAACCAAGGCAUAAGCGUACCCUGUCCACCCUCCAACGCAAGUACCUGAACAUUGAACUAACUCCUGAACUUACCAAGGCUCACUCAACAGCACGAGAAACCAUCUGGAUUACUCCACUUCGCAAACCUAGACCCCGAAUCCCUCUACCCCUGGAGACCUGACUACACUUACUUAUUGGCGAUUUUACCAUUCACGUUCCAGUCUCACUUUUUGUAAAUAAAACACCUUUCACUGA